Molecule: transfer RNA, 71 nt
Filed under: Loxodonta africana (African savanna elephant)
Lineage: Eukaryota; Metazoa; Chordata; Mammalia; Proboscidea; Elephantidae
Rfam family: tRNA
About the family: Transfer RNA (tRNA) molecules are approximately 80 nucleotides in length. Their secondary structure includes four short double-helical elements and three loops (D, anti-codon, and T loops).
Source: Rfam by way of RNAcentral
GCAUUGGUACUUCAGUAGUAGAAUUCUCGCCAUCCAUGUGGAAGACCUGGGUUCAAUUCCUGGCCAACGCA